CCUACGGGGGGCAGCAGUGAGGAAUAUUGGUCAAUGGGCGGAAGCCUGAACCAGCCAAGUAGCGUGCAGGAUGACGGCCCUACGGGUUGUAAACUGCUUUUAUACGGGAAUAACGCGCCUUACGUGUAGGGCUUUGCAUGUACCGUAUGAAUAAGGACCGGCUAAUUCCGUGCCAGCAGCCGCGGUAAUACGGAAGGUCCGGGCGUUAUCCGGAUUUAUUGGGUUUAAAGGGAGCGUAGGCCGCAUGUCAAGCGUGCUGUGAAAUGUCCGGGCUCAACCCGGGCCUUGCAGCGCGAACUGGCGGGCUUGAGUCCGCGGAAAGCAGGCGGAAUUCGUCGUGUAGCGGUGAAAUGCUUAGAUAUGACGAAGAACCCCGAUUGCGAAGGCAGCAUGCCGGCUCCACACUGACGCUGAGGCACGAAAGCGUGGGUAUCGAACAGGAUUAGAUACCCCAGUAGUC
This 460-nucleotide ribosomal RNA is filed under the name uncultured bacterium. RNAcentral describes it as "partial 16S ribosomal RNA". It matches the Rfam family "Bacterial small subunit ribosomal RNA", at positions 338 to 795 of the family's 1533-position model. The record is from RNAcentral.